RNAcentral lists this ribosomal RNA (251 nucleotides) under uncultured bacterium. RNAcentral describes it as "partial 16S ribosomal RNA". It matches the Rfam family "Bacterial small subunit ribosomal RNA", at positions 57 to 305 of the family's 1533-position model. The record is from RNAcentral.
GCAAGUCGAACGGUAACAGAGAAGUGCUUGCACUUUUGCUGACGAGUGGCGGAGGGAGAGUAAUGCUUGGGAAUAUGCCGUAUGGUGGGGGACAACAGUUGGAAACGACUGCUAAUAACGCAUAAUAUCUUCGGAUCAAAGUGGGGGACCUUCGGGCCUCACGCCAUGAGAGUAGCCCAAGUGGGAUUAGCUAGUUGGUAAGGUAAUGGCUUACCAAGGCGACGAUCCCUAGCUGGUCUGAGAGGAUGACC